AAUCAGUGUGGCCAUACCACGUGGUUUGUGACGUCAUUUUGGCUAGCACGCUAAGUAGAAAUUUGUCAACAUUGGCCCCGCUUAGAAAUUUCAAAUCCACGUAAGUAUCUUAUUAUUUACUCUUUUUUGACGAAAUAAAGCGCAGGCUAAGGGAAAAGUUGAGCACUAUUCCCGGUUAUAUAAAUAUUUGUCACCAGAUGAGUAGUUUAGUCUAUCAUUCGAGGCAAAUUCCUAGUUUUUACGUUACAAUGCACGCAAGCACGACAAGCACAUUUGAAAUCGUCCAAAAUAUCUGUUUUAUAUUCCUUUUUGCAGUGAACCAAUAUGUGCGAACGUGAUUAAUUCCAUAUAAAAUGUGUUUUGUCCGAAAAAAUUACCUGAAAACACCACUUAAUGACAUUUCUAAUGUACAUCAACACUUUGGCUAACACGACAAGCAACGAAAUUCAAGGCAAGCACGGCAAGUCGAUAUAUUUGGCUAGAACGACUAGUUGUUAUUAAUUAUGUUUCUGAAGCGAUGUUAUUGUUUCAUAAAAAAAUAAAACUAUUAAAAAUGUUAUAAUUCCAUUUUCAUAUAGUCACUCGCGGAUAACAGGCUUAUAAGUCGUGUUUAUUUCAUAUUAUGCCGUAAAUUGACCUCCGAUGCAUUUAGAUUCCAACCCAAACUAUUGUUAAAACUUUCAGGCACUUCUUCUAUACAACCUCGAAAAAGAAUGUGUACAAACUCGUUGGUCAAUAUAACGUCGAUGGCAAAGGUGAAGAUGAACCAAACAUCAAGAGCUAUUCCGAUAUUCGUGACCACGAGUUUGACAACCCGGGGAGAUUGCGCGUGAAACCGAAGGCAAAAGAGGCCAAAAUGGACUCGAGUCGAAAUGCCGUUGCCAGGGAAACUUUAGGUGUACGGUGGGACUGUGCGAGGAGAAACGAAAGCAAGUUAUUGCCUACGUACAGAAUUGGACUAGACAUAGAAGAAAUUUGAUAAGAAACCGCCUUUCUGAAGAAUUCCGUGUUUUAGUAGCUUGACUUGAGCGAGAUAUAAAUAAUUAUUCAUGUG
Dreissena polymorpha is the source of this 1054-nucleotide long non-coding RNA. RefSeq lists it as uncharacterized. NCBI's taxonomy places the organism in Eukaryota, Metazoa, Mollusca, Bivalvia, Myida, Dreissenidae. The record is from RefSeq and is a predicted model, not a curated record. The transcript has 2 exons.